UUCAUCCAUAGGGUUUGUACACCCUCCACGAGGUUCGUACACCUCAUAGCAUUCAUCCAUAGGGUUUGUACACCCUCCACGAGGUUCGUACACCUCAUAUCAUUCAUCCAUAGGGUUCGUACACCCUCCACGAGGUUCGUACACCUCAUAUCAUUCAUCCAUAGGGUUUGUACACCCUCCACGAGGUUCGUACACCUCAUA
RNAcentral lists this long non-coding RNA (201 nucleotides) under Vigna radiata. Its description in RNAcentral is "long non-coding RNA (VRAD_LNC009889)". The record is from RNAcentral. Lineage: Eukaryota; Viridiplantae; Streptophyta; Magnoliopsida; Fabales; Fabaceae.